UGGCGGUUUUAGCGCGGUGGUCCCACCUGACCCCAUGCCGAACUCAGAAGUGAAACGCCGUAGCGCCGAUGGUAGUGUGGGGUCUCCCCAUGUGAGAGUAGGGAACUGCCAGGCA
Molecule: ribosomal RNA, 115 nt
Filed under: Enterobacter kobei
Lineage: Bacteria; Pseudomonadati; Pseudomonadota; Gammaproteobacteria; Enterobacterales; Enterobacteriaceae
Also listed under: 1 other name
Source: RNAcentral